Molecule: long non-coding RNA, 4381 nt
Organism: Mesocricetus auratus (golden hamster)
Lineage: Eukaryota; Metazoa; Chordata; Mammalia; Rodentia; Cricetidae
Exons: 2
Source: RefSeq, a predicted model, not a curated record
UCACCGAGCCGCUGAAGCUGCGGCCUCGUCUGCUGGCCGACUCAGUUGAGCACGCUGUAAUGUGUGCCUCAGAAGAGCCGGAGACCCGAUGCCUGCAGUCACAGCACCGAAGGUGUGCCUUUUUGCCUAUAAAAGCCAUUGUUAAAACAGGUUAUUUUGUCCUUGGAGCGAUUUAUUACAGUCUCUAGAGAUAAAAUAUGAAUAUUGAGCAAGGGUUGUGCAAACCGAAGUGGGCAACGGUUUGCUUUAAGUAGAAGAGUAAUCAAGAAAUAAUGAGUGUGCAUUCCAGUGAGGGAGAAGUUUCAGAGUAGAUUGAAAAGACUUCCUUUAUUGCGGGUUAACCCUGCACAGAGCCAGGCUGGUUAUGAUGACGGUGAGGUAGGUGGUUCCGCGUUCCUUUGCAUCUGAUUUUAUGGACCUGCAUGUGGCACUGUGACUUUCUCUGUAUUCGGGUUUUACUUUUCAUGUGUUUGCUUUGGGUCAGGACUCCAGUGUAUACAGGGCUGGAUGCCCCUGACUUACUGAUGCCAGUGAGCCUGUAAGGAAGGGAGUUAGAUACCCUGGAGGAAAGGUCAGCGUUGCAUCAAUUAAAGAUUUAAAAGGAAAUGCUUUUAAAUCUCCAUACACAUCAUGAUGACUUGCCUGUAGUUGGCCCAUUCUAUCAGCUCUUCCUGUACAAUUUUUUGAUGAACUUUUGCCUAUAGCACACAUGGGAAAUGUAUAUCCUACUGUGUCAUUAGCUGUUCAGUUCUGUGUAUAGAGCAGAGACGCAAUUUUUUUGUGUUGUCAUAUAUGAAUACAUGUAUGUCUUUAGUGUCCUUCAGUUCUCCAAGAUGUCAGUUAUAUGUUUGUUUUCGCUCACUAGUUCCAUGACUUCGGGUUGUAUUUCAUCUUGUUACAAUCAGUGAUCUAUUUAUUUUGGCAUGAAACAGUAGUUCCUAUCCAGAUGUGUUGCGAGCACAUGAAGAACAAAAUUAUGCCUAGAAUAAUUGAGACUCUCUAGGGUUGGGGGGGAGUUAUGACCUCUGUAGUUCUUAGAAUUUUACAGGUGGAUCAUGAUGGCGUGAGCAGGAGAAGGCCCACUCCAUAGAGUCAGGAAAUGUCUAACCUUUCCCCAGGCGGACCCAGUCCACCGUGCAAGCAUGCCAACAUGAAAAUAGUAGUGAUAAAAUGAGAGUAGGAGAUGAACAUAAACUUUAUUACAUAUCAACACUCGAAUUUCAAUUUUUUACAAUCACAUAUGGUACUAUUCAAAAGAUGGAAAAAUACCUUAAAUAAAUGAAAUUUUAAAACCUUAAGUAAAACCUUAGUAAUACCUCAGGGUGGUGGAAUAUUUUAAAUGUAGUUUUAUUUUUAAUUAUGUAUGUGUAUCUGUGUGGGCAUCUGUCUAUGAGUGCGGGUGCCUCCCAGGGGAGGCCAAAGAGGAUGUUGAGUCCCCCGGAAUGUAAGUUACAGGCUGUGACGAGCCGCCUGCCAUGGGUGCUGGACAAGACUACAAGAGCAGAACUUGACGGACCACCAAGUUGUCACUCCAGUCCCAGGAAGGUAAAUUGCAAAUAUUCUUAUUUACUCCUCUCUACACUUUCCAGACCCUUUGGCAGAAUUUUGAGAGAAAAAUUAAUAGCAGAAAAUGUUAACGUUUGAACACAAAGAUUAACUUCUAGUCAGAAAGCUACAUGGACACGCCAGUACCAAAGUGUUUGUCCUGUGCUGACGUGUCAAGAGGGAGUGAGUUCCCUACCGGAAUGCAGGCCAGACGAGGGCCUGCAUACACACCUGCGAACCGUGCCUCAGUGCUUCCAGCCUGGGUUUCAUAAAUAACUUAUGUCUAGACCAUUAGUCCUGUAUAUACUGAAGUGCAGCUGAUUUUAGGCUUACUAGAGUUUUCUUUUUACUGUGACUUAUCUCUGAGAAUGAAACAGUUUGGAGAAGGUUGGUUGGAAAAAUCACCCGUAUUUCUUUGGCUGACGAGGAAAUCCAACAGUGAGGUUUCAUCUCAGCCUCUCAAUCACACUCCUGAUCUCACCCUGAUCUCACGGAGGCCAUCAGGUGACUGACUGGUCUUGAAGGCAGAUGGGCUUGUGAAGAAGAUGCAAGCUUAAGCUAUGUCUGCAGAGCCAACAGGACUUGGGGUCCAUUUAUUGCAUCUGUGCCGUUUCAGAAAAGAAUCAGCGCUGACAACUUCCUCAAUUACUGAAUUAAAAAAAAGUGGCCGAGCACACAUUAUCUAAGAACUUCUCUCGGCAUCCUCAAAAGGAAAUGAAUUUAAACGGUUGAGGAGAUGUACCCGGAGCCACAUUAAGUGGUGGACUGGAAGUGCGUCUCACGUCCGUCUCGUCCUGAAACUCACCCAUCGCUGCAUUCAUCCCUUUAUCUCAAAUGAAGCCAACAUCAGGGAAACGUUCCGCGCUGCUUGGAAGACAGCUGCUCCCUGACCCUGACAGUUUUCCUAGAACACUCCUGGGCCUUUGGAGCAAGAGGGCAGCCGCCGCUUGGUGGGAUCGUUCCUGGCACCACCGUGCCGCACUUGUAUGGAGAAGGAAGGGUGGGCGGGUGCAUUCCUGGUCGCUGUAUGGCUGACGUUGGCGCACAUCCUCUUCCUCAGCAACUAAGCCGUCAUUCACUCAUAUUAAACACACUUUGCUCAAAGAGUGUUUUCAAGAAGAAAACUCUCUCUUUACAUUUCACUGCACCCUUAAGUUACACAUCUGUCCAUUUUAUUCUUGUUCUUUGUUUUUGUGUUUUCAAGACAGGGUUUCUCUGUGUAACCACCCCAGCUGUCCUGGAAUUCACUUUGUAGACCAGGCUGGCCUCCAACUCACAGAGAUCCACCUGCCUCUGCUUCCCAAAUGCUGGGAUUAAAGGCAUGUGCCACCACCCCCCUACUCCAUCCUCUUCUUAGUCUACUGGCUGGUUUCAUCUGUCAACUUGAGACUAGAGUCAUCAGAGGAAGGAGUCUCAGUUGAGGAAAUGUCUCCAUGAGAUCCAGCUGUCAGGCAUUUUCUCAAUUAAUGAUCAAUGUAGGAGGAGGGUCCACCCCAUGGUGAGUGGAGCCAUCCCUGGGCUGCUGGUCCUGGGUUCUAUAAGACAGCAGGCUGAGCAGAACAGGGGAAGCAAGCCAGUAAGCAGCACCCUCCACAGCCUCUGCAUCAGCUCCUGUCUCCAGCUUCCUGCCCUGUUUGAGCUCCUGUCCUGACUUCCUUCAGUGACGAAUGGCGAUGUGGCAGCGUAAGUAAACCAAAGAAACCCCUUUUUCCCCAACUUGCUUUUUGUUGUGGUGUUUCAUCGCAGCAAAGAAACCCUAACCAAGACAAGUUGGUACCAGAAGAGGGGUAUUGCUGUGACGGACCUGACCAUGUUUUUGGGAGGAUUGUGGGAGGACUUAGGAACUUUGGGCUGGAAGAGCCAUUGAGUACGAAGAGCUCUUUGGAAUGUUCUUCAGGAGCCCGGAAGAUAAGAAUGUGAAGGGCGGUUCCGGAAGACGGAGGCCUGGCCUGUGAAGUUUCAGAGGGGAGGUGCAAAGACCCUCAGGGCCAUUCGUUAUUUUGAAUUGAGAUCCCGUGGUUCUGGUCAGCUGGGGCUGAAGAGUCAGCUGUGAUUAACGAGAGACCAGAACUACAAAGCUAAACUCUGCUUUGUGGGGUGCUCGAUGCUGGUCAGCUGGAGCUGAGAAAUUAGCAGUGAUUAAGAAGAGGCCAGCAUCACUGAGGUGAAAUCUUGUGGGAAGUGUUUCCUGAGAGCCCAGAGAAGCUGUGUUCCAGAAGUGGCCAAGGUUGUACGUCGUACUUACAGCUGGACUUGGUCAUGCGUCAGAGUCACCCAGGUGGUGCUGGUUUUGAAGGCAUGAAGGGGUCAGGGAGAGUAGCUGAGGCUUGGCACCAUGAGAGGCCAGGAGAGGCCCCUGGAGAAGGUGCAGCCUCGGCGGCAGUUGAAGACCCAGGGCUGAAGGGGCAUCAUAAAGAAAGUCUCUAAGAGGGUAUUGGUGAAAGCGCAGCCUGGUUGCAGCAGAAGACCCUAGCGUUUUGAAGAUGCCAGCGCCACGGGGUGACCACUAAGAGCAGCAGCAGAGUGGAGUGGAGCCAGCGAGAGCAUCGGAGACUGCUGUGUGUGCUGCAGAGGGAGUCCAGGAGGUCUCGACUGUUUGACUUUCGCGUUGAGUUGAUUGUUAACUGUGCCCUGAUUUUUCCCUCUUGAAAUAAAGUAGUUUGCUAGAGCCCACAGUUGAGAGACUACGAAUUUUCAAAGACUUUGGAUGUUAAAACAAACUGGCUACUUUAAGGGGACUGAAAUUUUAAUGUGUUGAAUUUGUAAAGAUUCCGGGACUUCUAAAGUUAUUCCUGAGAUCUUGGGGAUAAAUCAUAAAGGAAGGGUUGUGUCUUAA